CACCCAUACUCUUAUACGGCCCUGAAUAUGGCCAUUUCAUUACCUUAAGGAAAUUAAUUGCAAUUUGAUUCUUUGAAGCUUCACUGCCCCCAAGUUCUAUUCUUGUUACUCCGAGAAGAUAAAUAAACAAGUGAAACUUGAGAUAUUGUGUAUGGGAAGCAUAGGGACCUUGCUCUCACAAGAAGAUUGUGGCAGCAUCACCAGCUAUCGUAUUUUGGAAUCAUUCUUCAGGAAAAAACCCGUGUUUUUGCAGGUACCACCAUUGUCAUAUUUCAUAGCACAUUUUCUAUUUCAUCCAUUGCAUACAGUCGUACAUAUUCAGAGAAUACAUGGCUAUUUGAUUAA
This is a long non-coding RNA of Macadamia integrifolia, 345 nucleotides long. RefSeq lists it as uncharacterized. The transcript is spliced from 3 exons. Lineage: Eukaryota; Viridiplantae; Streptophyta; Magnoliopsida; Proteales; Proteaceae. The record is from RefSeq and is a predicted model, not a curated record.